This 256-nucleotide long non-coding RNA is filed under the name Nicotiana benthamiana. Its description in RNAcentral is "long non-coding RNA (NBEN_LNC012956)". The record is from RNAcentral. Lineage: Eukaryota; Viridiplantae; Streptophyta; Magnoliopsida; Solanales; Solanaceae.
CCUUCCAACUGUUCUUUUGUAUCCCAACCAACAGCAUAUUCUAUUCCAUAAUCGACUGGUAACUUGGCAAUCAAAAUACAAGUGCUCAAAGUUCUCAGCAUGCUGCUGACAGAAUAUACAAUCCAACAGCAUAUUCUAUUCCAUAAUCGACUGGUAACUUGGCAAUCAAAAUACAAGUGCUCAAAGUUCUCAGCAUGCUGCUGACAAAAUAUACAAUCUGUAGGCACCUGAAUCCCAUACUUCUGCAGUCUGUCAG